Molecule: long non-coding RNA, 713 nt
Organism: Bactrocera dorsalis (oriental fruit fly)
Lineage: Eukaryota; Metazoa; Arthropoda; Insecta; Diptera; Tephritidae
Exons: 2
Source: RefSeq, a predicted model, not a curated record
GUUUCGUGUUGGCCUAAUUUUGUAUAUUAAUAGCAUUGACAGACGGCAGCGUUAAACCGAAUUAAUUGCAUUUUUCGGGAUUAAUUCAGGAGUUACCACAGCUAACUCCGUUGCUGAAUCCAAACAUAACUCUUCAAAAUUUUAGGGAGUUUGUGAGAUUUUCGUUGGCAACAUUGUUAAUAAUUGACAGCUGUAUUCUAUUGUUAAUGAAAAAUAAGAACAGUGAGCAGCGGUUCUACGUUUAAAUGUAAAGAAAGUUAUUUUGAAAAGCGAUGAUUAAAGAUAAAAAAUUAAAUGGCUGGCAGAAAAAAGCGUUCUGGGUGGACUUUAAAGGAUGAGUUGGAGCUGCUGGAAAAAUGGGAGGCACGUUCCCACGACGGCACGAUUACGGUUUUUCCGGCGCCGCGAUUUGAUGGUACUAAUGGAUAGAGGAGGUCCUCAGGAUUAAAAAAUGUAUACACAUAUACCGUCCUCAGACGCAUAGUUUCCGAGAUAUUUCACUUUAAAGUUCCACAAUUUUACAUGCAAUUUAGUCCUAUUUUGUUUUGUUUUGUUUUUCUUCACAUGUCAUUACAAGUACCAGUGUUGCCACAUAUUAUGUUUUAAAAAAACUAUGAAAAAUUUUUCUUUUUAACAUUUAUAAAGAAAAUGAUACAAACGGUUUUUGUAUAUUAUGUUAAUUGAUAAAUAAAGAUAAAAAAUAACAUUCCUUU